ACCUCUAGCCAGGGACGCGCGCUCGGUCCCCCGCCGUGCGCCCCCGGUCCCGCGCCCAGGCUCCCGCCCCUGGCCUCCUUACCAGCCACUUGUCGCCCAGCUGCGAACUGGAGCGGGAGGCGGCGGCCGGAGGGCCCAGGACAGCCCCGGGAGGGCGGCGAGGCGGAGCAGGAGCGCCCCGGCUCCGGCCACAUUCUCAGAGUCAGGAAAAGGGGCGAGAGGCCACAUGUCUCCCUCUCGCCCAACUGAAAACGAAACGGCGCUCCAGCAGAUUGGGUGGAAAGAGCUGGGUCUCUUUUCUCUGUUUUUCACGCUAGAAAGGGCUUGUAAACAUUGUUCCUUUUAAAAUGACCUACCCCAGGCAUUUGUUUGGGCACACUUCUGUCCUGGGGUCAUCGUUCCUAGGUGGCUUCGGACCUGGGACUUUUCCUGUAUCUGCACAUUGUCGUUUUAUACACAAUUGCCAAGGUGGGACUGCUUUCAACUUUACUGUGCUUGAAGCUGCAAAGGUUCUGCCCUGAUGUUUCCUGGAAUAAUGCUGAGGACUGCCUUUCGGGUAGCCGCCCUAUUCAGUUCACUUCAUCUCGGAAAUACCUGACCCCUGCCUUGGAUCCAGCGGCCCUCCUGAGAGCUGAGGAAGGAGGAAAUCCUAUGUGUCUGCUCCCGGAGCUGCCACAACCCAUCUUCCCACAACUCGGAACUUGGAAAAAGGAACCCAGGACACGACUUUGCUUUUCUUUUGGACCUAGUUGAUACAAGUUAACAGGAUAUGCUUCUGGCCUGUUUCUGGAUUCUAAGGGUAGAACCAGCAUAAAACUAGUCAGUCCAAGUAUUUCUAAAGAUCCACAGACACAGUUCUCCUGGAUUUGGGAAGCCUAGAGAUAUUAGCACAAUAAUUAAGGCCCAACAACUUUUAAAAGCCUUUCCACUGCACAGUGAAAGAAAACCACAAACUCCUUGUUUAAUAAGUGGGAUCACGUGCUUUUAACACGAGGAAAAGGUCAAUCUGAAGCAACUGAUAUGGAACUGCCAGAGUAGGAGUUGAAAAUCUUCCUAAACUGCUGGAGGAUACACCUCUGAUAGCUUGAGACAAAUAUCCUCUUGAUCAUUGUUUCACCAUAUUUGUCUUUGCUCAUGGAGAACCAUUUUGAUCCGUGGUUUAGCCUCCCAGGUGAUUGAACAAUACCGGUGAUCUGAGGCAGACCCUCUGUGACGGAUAACAGAAAAGAAAAUUGAGGAUCAGAAAAUACGCACAAUUUGCAAAAACCAUGGGAAAGAAUAUUGAUUGAACAUCUACUCAAGAACUGCAAAACAGAGAUUACCUGACCUAAAGGAGUCCAUUCUCAAUUUUCUGUGCAAAUUGGGGAAGGCUGUUGAUAAUCGGUGGAUGCUAUAGUGCCCAUGGAAAGACUCUAGUCUGAAGAUACCAGUCUCUCCCUCCCAAGAUCACCUCCCCUGACCAACCUUCUGCACUCCUGACAGAUACAAGGGAGCAAGCAAGUUGCACCCAACCUAAUAGUAAAUUGCAGGGACAUUUCCAUUCUAAGGAAGGAAUUUUUGUGUGUGUUGCAACUCAGCUUCUGCUCUGGCAUUUUGCUGUGCAUUUAUAUUGCCAAUCAUGUUGGAGAGUCCAUGUGGUGAUUUCUGAAAACGAGAUGUGAGAAAGAAGAGGAUAAUUUAAGUCUAGACCUACAGAUUGUGCUGAUAAAGUGAUGAAGAACUACAAUCUUCUUAGUCAUUUCAUUGUAUAAGUGCAAUAAAGGAUUUUGUGUCUUUCCUGGCAAACAACUUGUGACCACAGUGAUGGCUCCAGCAGAAUGGAAAAGACCCUUUACCUCACAUCUCAGAAGUAAAGAUGCUGAUUAUUUGACAUCGCCAUUGGAAUCUCAAAACAGUGUAAAGCAUUUGCUAAAAAGAGUCACUUUCUGAGAAAUGACUCAGAAUUCGACUUACGUACUAGCAGAACUUAUUGCCCAUAAAAGGAAAGGCCACACUUUUUGUGAAAACUUAAUAAUCCCUAGGAUGUAAAAUUAUACUGAGUUAAAUCCUAGUCCCAUUUUUAGUACAAGAAACUGGAAAAAAAUAAUCCACUCUCAAAUGGUAAGACAAAUUGAGAUAUUGCUGAAAAGCCUCUUGACCCUGAAAAGUUCUGAAUAAUAAACUGAUAAAAGCAGCAGCAGCAUCUAACUUGACACCAGUCAUGUCAUUUG
This 2210-nucleotide long non-coding RNA is filed under the name Homo sapiens (human). RNAcentral's name for it is "PREDICTED lncRNA (TCONS_00025413)". Lineage: Eukaryota; Metazoa; Chordata; Mammalia; Primates; Hominidae. The record is from RNAcentral.